ACUCCUACGGGAGGCAGCAGUGGGGAAUAUUGCACAAUGGGCGCAAGCCUGAUGCAGCGACGCCGCGUGGGGGGUGAAGGCCUUCGGGUUGUAAACCUCUUUCAGUAGGGAAGAAGCGAAAGUGACGGUACCUGCAGAAGAAGCGCCGGCUAACUACGUGCCAGCAGCCGCGGUAAUACGUAGGGCGCAAGCGUUAUCCGGAAUUAUUGGGCGUAAAGAGCUCGUAGGCGGUUUGUCGCGUCUGCCGUGAAAGUCCGGGGCUUAACCCCGGAUCUGCGGUGGGUACGGGCAGACUAGAGUGAUGUAGGGGAGACUGGAAUUCCUGGUGUAGCGGUGAAAUGCGCAGAUAUCAGGAGGAACACCGAUGGCGAAGGCAGGUCUCUGGGCAUUAACUGACGCUGAGGAGCGAAAGCAUGGGGAGCGAACAGGAUUAGAUACCCUGGUAGUCCAUGCCGUAAACGUUGGGCACUAGGUGUGGGGGACAUUCCACGUUUUCCGCGCCGUAGCUAACGCAUUAAGUGCCCCGCCUGGGGAGUACGGCCGCAAGGCUAAAACUCAAAGGAAUUGACGGGGGCCCGCACAAGCGGCGGAGCAUGCGGAUUAAUUCGAUGCAACGCGAAGAACCUUACCAAAGGCUUGACAUGAACUGGAACAGCGCAGAGAUGUGUUGGCCGCUUGCGGCCGGUUUACAGGUGGUGCAUGGUUGUCGUCAGCUCGUGUCGUGAGAUGUUGGGUUAAGUCCCGCAACGAGCGCAACCCUCGUUCUAUGUUGCCAGCGCGUUAUGGCGGGGACUCAUAGGAGACUGCCGGGGUCAACUCGGAGGAAGGUGGGGACGACGUCAAAUCAUCAUGCCCCUUAUGUCUUGGGCUUCACGCAUGCUACAAUGGCCGGUACAAAGGGUUGCGAUACUGUGAGGUGGAGCUAAUCCCAAAAAGCCGGUCUCAGUUCGGAUUGAGGUCUGCAACUCGACCUCAUGAAGUCGGAGUCGCUAGUAAUCGCAGAUCAGCAACGCUGCGGUGAAUACGUUCCCGGGCCUUGUACACACCGCCCGU
Molecule: ribosomal RNA, 1053 nt
Filed under: uncultured bacterium
Lineage: Bacteria
Description: bacterial SSU rRNA
Rfam family: Bacterial small subunit ribosomal RNA
Source: RNAcentral